CCUACGGGAGACUGCAGUAGGGAAUCUUUCACAAUGGGCGAAAGCCUGAUGGAGCAACGCCGCGUGCAGGAUGAAGGCCUUCGGGUUGUAAACUGCUUUUAUAAGCGAGAAAUAUGAUGGUAACUUAUGAAUAAGGAUCGGCUAACUACGUGCCAGCAGCCGCGGUCAUACGUAGGAUCCGAGCAUUAUCCGGAGUGACUGGGUGUAAAGAGUUGCGUAGGUGGCAUAGUAAGUAGCUAGUGAAAUCUGGUGGCUCAACCAUUCAGACUAUUAGCUAAACUGUUAAUCUCGAGACCGUUAGGGGUAACUGGAAUUUCUAGUGUAGGAGUGAAAUCCGUAGAUAUUAGAAGGAACACCAAUAGCGUAGGCAGGUUGCUGGGACGGUUCUGACACUAAGGCACGAAAGCGUAGGGAGCAAACGGGAUUAGAUACCCCUGUAGUC
Molecule: ribosomal RNA, 442 nt
Filed under: uncultured bacterium
Lineage: Bacteria
Description: partial 16S ribosomal RNA
Rfam family: Bacterial small subunit ribosomal RNA
Source: RNAcentral